AUGAACAUGGACCUUACCUAUUUCGGUCCCCUGAACACGAAUCUAGCCUCAGAUCUCACUAACUCCUCCUCAAUCAAUGGGAUCGAAGAUCCAGAAGUCACAAACCCUAAGUCUAUUAUGUUAUGGAUUCACGCGAAUUGGAGAAGUGAAUCAGGUUGGAGUUUGCAGCAAGAUUGCGAGAGGAUGAUGAUUCGUGGAAGAUUGUUGAAGAUUGAAAAAAGGACCAUGGCAAUUUGGAACUUGAAUGAAAACUGA
This is a non-coding RNA of Vicia faba (fava bean), 255 nucleotides long. The record is from the annotation of a GenBank genome assembly. Lineage: Eukaryota; Viridiplantae; Streptophyta; Magnoliopsida; Fabales; Fabaceae.